UACGGGGGGGGCAAGCGUUGUUCGGAAUUACUGGGCGUAAAGGGUUUGUAGGUGGCUUGCUAAGUCAGACGUGAAAUCCCUCAGCUUAACUGGGGAACUGCGUCUGAGACUGGCAAGCUUGAGUGCAGGAGAGGAACGCGGAAUUCCAGGUGUAGCGGUGAAAUGCGUAGAUAUCUGGAGGAACACCGGUGGCGAAGGCGGCGUUCUGGACUGUAACUGACACUGAUGAACGAAAGCCAGGGGAGCAAACGGG
This 253-nucleotide ribosomal RNA is filed under the name uncultured bacterium. RNAcentral describes it as "partial 16S ribosomal RNA". It matches the Rfam family "Bacterial small subunit ribosomal RNA", at positions 524 to 776 of the family's 1533-position model. The record is from RNAcentral.